This 507-nucleotide ribosomal RNA is filed under the name uncultured bacterium. RNAcentral's name for it is "bacterial SSU rRNA". It matches the Rfam family "Bacterial small subunit ribosomal RNA", at positions 28 to 520 of the family's 1533-position model. The record is from RNAcentral.
GAUGAACGCUAGCUACAGGCUUAACACAUGCAAGUCGAGGGGAAACGAUAUUGGAAGCUUGCUUCCGAUAGGCGUCGACCGGCGCACGGGUGAGUAACGCGUAUCCAACCUGCCCAUCACUUGGGGAUAACCUUGCGAAAGUAAGACUAAUACCCAAUGACGUCUCUAGAAGACAUCUGAAGGAGAUUAAAGAUUUAUCGGUGAUGGAUGGGGAUGCGUCUGAUUAGCUUGUUGGCGGGGUAACGGCCCACCAAGGCGACGAUCAGUAGGGGUUCUGAGAGGAAGGCCCCCCCACAUUGGAACUGAGACACGGUCCAAACUCCUACGGGAGGCAGCAGUGAGGAAUAUUGGGCAAUGGACGAGAGUCUGAACCAGCCAAGUAGCGUGCAGGAUGACGGCCCUAUGGGUUGUAAACUGCUUUAUAAGGGAAUAAAGUGGGAGUCGUGACUCUUUUUGCAUGUACCUUAUGAAUAAGGACCGGCUAAUUCCGUGCCAGCAGCCCGACGG